AAGGGAGACCUAAUUCAGGUAUGGGACGAAAAAAAAGUAGUCGCUACCAAGAAUCAAUCCCAAAAGGUCGGAGCGAGGUAUGAGGCUUUCAAACUAGGUUCUGGGUUCAAACAAGACCUGAAUCGGGAACAAGGGCUAUUAGCUCAGGUGGUUAGAGCGCACCCCUGAUAAGGGUGAGGUCCCUGGUUCGAGUCCAGGAUGGCCCACCUGCACAGGUGGCAAAAACAAGAGAAGCGAGGGAUCAGCACCUUAUCUUAUCUAUAUAUAAGAGAGAAUGCUGGCUCUGAGUAAAGAGUCCAGAGGAACCUUGAAAACUGCAUAGAGCUAGGUGAAAAAGCCAAAAAAGAAGACCGCAA
RNAcentral lists this transfer RNA (356 nucleotides) under uncultured Microcystis sp. RNAcentral describes it as "partial 16S-23S ribosomal RNA intergenic spacer". The stretch from base 133 to 206 matches the Rfam family "tRNA". The record is from RNAcentral. Lineage: Bacteria; Bacillati; Cyanobacteriota; Cyanophyceae; Chroococcales; Microcystaceae.